AUGUUGGGAGGACGACAUUUAAGUGGUAGUCAGCGAGACAUAGCAAAAGAAACGAGAAAACUAACAUGGCAAUGAUAGUAAUGGUAUCUAGGGAAAUGAUCAUCUUGCAUGUGAUCUCGUUUGGAAGAAGAACGAAUCUGUGAAGUAGACGAACGAACGUAGUCGAACGAAUCCUCACACUCCAAAGUGGUUCAGAACUCUAUUUGGAAGGAACAAUCCGGAAACAACAAUCAACACACGAUAAACACCACGACAUAUGCAUAACAUGAUGCACAAACACAUAUAAUGCAUUUGCAUAUAAUUAUGCACGACACGACAAAUCACAACAAUUUAUUACUACACAUAAAAGGAAGUUCAAUAUGCAACGAGUUUCAUAUUGACGAAACUCCACGUUAAAGUAUUUAGUUCACUCUCGUUUAGGUACUCAACAAUGUUAAAUGCUGUUACACAUGGCAACAGGUGAAGCAUAAAUAAACUACACUAUCUAUGCAUUUUAAAUGAGGACGGAAACAACUUAUAGUAUCUACGGAAUGACCCCAUACGUUAAUUCCGAAAUUGGCCCACAUCUGAAGUAAACAUAUUUUAUAAUUGUCAAACAGCAAAAUAAAAUAGACCAUGUGAUUCUACACGUCAUUCUAGUUGAUUUACAUAUAUAUAUAUCAUUAAAAAUGGAGCUACGGUUUAAAAGAUAUGAGCAACACAAGAUGAUAUGCCACGCAUGCAAAAUGCAUGCAAAUGACAACCACAACAUGUUAAUCAUGGAUACAACAAGAAAUUAUGACAACACAUGAAAUUCUAGGCAAGGUUAAAUGAGGCCGGAACAAGGAAUAACAAUUCCGGUAAAUCUCCAUAUGAAAAUUAAGAUUUGGUACUGUUCUUCCUAUAAC
RNAcentral lists this long non-coding RNA (887 nucleotides) under Hordeum vulgare. RNAcentral describes it as "long non-coding RNA (HVUL_LNC010173)". The record is from RNAcentral. Lineage: Eukaryota; Viridiplantae; Streptophyta; Magnoliopsida; Poales; Poaceae.